UACAGAGGUCUCAAGCGUUGUUCGGAUUCAUUGGGCGUAAAGGGUGCGUAGGCGGCGCGGUAAGUCGGGUGUGAAAUCUCGGAGCUUAACUCCGAAACUGCAUUCGAUACUGCUUCGCUUGAGUACUGGAGAGGAGGCUGGAAUUUACGGUGUAGCAGUGAAAUGCGUAGAUAUCGUAAGGAAGGCCGGUGGCGAAAGCGAGCCUCUGGACAGUUACUGACGCUGAUGCACGAAGGCCAGGGGAGCAAACGGG
RNAcentral lists this ribosomal RNA (253 nucleotides) under uncultured bacterium. Its description in RNAcentral is "partial 16S ribosomal RNA". It matches the Rfam family "Bacterial small subunit ribosomal RNA", at positions 524 to 776 of the family's 1533-position model. The record is from RNAcentral.